Molecule: ribosomal RNA, 525 nt
Filed under: uncultured bacterium
Lineage: Bacteria
Description: partial 16S ribosomal RNA
Rfam family: Bacterial small subunit ribosomal RNA
Source: RNAcentral
AGGGAAUCUUCCACAAUGGACGCAAGUCUGAUGGAGCAACGGCCGCGUGAGUGAAGAAGGUUUUCGGACCGUAAAGCUCUGUUGUUGGUGAAGAAGGAUAGAGGUAGUAACUGGCCUUUAUUUGACGGUAAUCAACCAGAAAGUCACGGCUAACUACGUGCCAGCAGCCGCGGUAAUACGUAGGUGGCAAGCGUUGUCCGGAUUUAUUGGGCGUAAAGCGAGCGCAGGCGGAAGAAUAAGUCUGAUGUGAAAGCCCUCGGCUUAACCGAGGAAUUGCAUCGGAAACUGUUUUUCUUGAGUGCAGAAGAGGAGAGUAGAACUCCAUGUGUAGCGGUGGAAUGCGUAGAUAUAUGGAAGAAUACCAGUGGCGAAGGCGGCUCUCUGGUCUGCAACUGACGCUGAGGCUCGAAAGCAUGGGUAGCGAACAGGAUUAGAUACCCUGGUAGUCCAUGCCGUAAACGAUGAGUGCUAAGUGUUGGGAGGCUUCCGCCUCUCAGUGCUGCAGCUAACGCAUUAAGCACUCCG